CAGCUAAGGGACUAGGAUCAAAAGUCAGAUCUCAGGUAGCCAAAGGUUAAAAUCAUCAAUGAAGAUUUUAUAGCCAGUCAUUGGAGACAUAGCUCUUUCCAGUAGUUAUCAUUCAUACAUGUACACAUUCGCACAGUUGAAUAUUUGAUAUUGAGUAAUUCCUGGGAAAGACUAAUCCUCCCUCUGUCAAUGGUUGCUAAUUGCAUGGUUUAGAACAAUAGAUUCUCUUCACAGCAUCUAGCCAUAGAUCUCAGUUUAAUAUAUUGCAACCAAAUGAAUUUCUACUUGGUGAUGGCAGGAAUGAAGGCAUAAUCUUUCCUUCAGUAGAAACCAGUGGACUUCAAGCUAAUGAUUUCUAUUACUCUGCCUCUAUUGGGCCAGGCAAGCUCUCACCUACCAGGGGUUUGGAAAGAAGCAUAUGAAGACCCAUCCCCAAACAUGGACGUCUAUGAGUGAGACAGUUCAGCCCAACUACCUGCACCAAAAUUCCAUUUCCUUCUAUAAUUAGUAAUUUUUUACUACCUUAUGGAACUUGUGUUUUCCUCUUUUUUUUUUCUUAUGCUAGGAUAAGUUACUCUUUUAUUUCACUGCCUUACCUUACCCAGGAAACUCUACUCAGCAAUUUAGAUGGAAAACUUAUAGAAACACUUUUCCUUUCGUUAUUACUUUUUACAUUUUUAUAAAAUUAUUUUGUAUUUUUAUUUUGUGUUUAUGAGCUUUUUUGUGUGUGUUUUGCCUACAUGUUUGUUUGUAUACCACAGGUAUGCUUGGUGUGUGCAGAGAGGAGAGGAGGACCCCUAGAACUGGUGUUAAAUGACUGAAAUGGAGAAACUAUCUAUAUAUUUGAUGACCUUAUACUUAGCCAUUGAUCAGAUCAAUAAGGACUCACAACUGCUUCCCAUUGUGACCUUGGAUUUCCAUGUCUACAACGCCUUUAAUUCUAACAAAAAAAAAAAAAAAACCCCUGGAAGGCCCUCUGAUGUCAAUGUCUGGAAGAACUGAGUAUGUUCCUAACUACGAAUGCAAAACACAACACAAAGCUCUAGGAAUCAUUUCAGGAACCAUGUCAGAAUUUUCUGCUGCAAUUGGAACACUUUUAGAGCUCUAAAACGUCCCACAAGUAAGUUAGAAAAGUAUUUUGGUGCACAAUCAUAGGUCAAAACUGACAAAAACAAAAGAAAACAGAGAAGUGUUUUAUGUUUAGUAUAGGCAGAUUUAAAAGAGCAGUGAAUGAAUUACUUUGAUAUGGCAAUGGUUAACAGUAGAAAGAAUGUCAUAAAAAUCAUGCUCAGUACAUUCUGAAAAUUUCUAAGCAGAUCACUUAGUGGAAACCAUGACUCUAUUGUCAAACACUGGAAGAUGUACUGUGGAUAGUAAGGCUGCAUUUUAUCAUAAGCCAAAUUGUACAACAAAGAUACCUAAGUACCAAAGAAAGCAUAUAACAGUCUCAAAAUUCCUACAGUUGUCAAUACUGAUGUAUGAAAAAAGAAAGUCUGGGACAUGUAACUAAAUUUAGAACAAUCUUCAAUGUCAUCAUGGAUGAAAAUCUUUCAAGGAAUUAACAAUCUCAUUCAGGAAAGUAGAUCUCAGCGCAGCAUUCACAGAGACCAACCACUUAAAUAGAUUGCCACAAUUGACUCUUUCCAGGCUACACUGAAGAAAGGUAUCCAUCAGCCGCCAUUACUACAAACAGAGAAAAAUACUGUGUGAGCACAAGGGUCUGGAAUAAUGAAGAUUAUAAAACCACAGUGUAACUCUGAUUGUUAUCACUCAGUUUAACAAUUAAUAAAUGUAUUUUAUCCUAAUGUAACAAAAAAUGAAACAGAAUAAUUUACAUCUGUUUCAGAGACUUUUUUUUUUCCUCAGUCAAAUCUAUCAUUAGACAGGAAUAAUGCAAUAACUCCUGGAAAUGUGAUUUUAGAUCUUUACAACUUGUACCAUUUUAACUUAGGUAACUGAAUCUCUAAAAAUUUUGUCAGUCUCUUUUUCUAUUUGCUUUUCUAAAGCUGAAGGUUCUGAGAAAUAUGCUGUUAUAUGACCAGAAAGUACUUGGUAGUACUUUCUGCAGUCUUUCACUACAUCAGAUACUCUGUUGCAUCGUCAUUGCAACAAAGGAGAUCUAUCAGGUCUUUCAAAGACAGUGAACAGAAUAUUGUUUACUCCAGAUACCUUAGUAACGUUGGAGCUCAUGGUACUUGAAAAAAAAAAAAACAACAUAUUCCAUCACGUGAUUAGAGAGACAAGCUAAUCUCAGAGAAGACAGCUCCUCACCAAUAUUCUGUCCUUUGAUUCUCAUAUGCAAAGAAUGAACUCACUUCCUCCCUCCGGGUUAUGAUUCCAAAUAUGUGAAACUCAAGAAUCACUUUUUUUUUCCUUUGCUUCUUCAGGUCACAUAUGGUCCCUUUGAUUCCAUGCUAAGUGACAAAGAUACAUUCCCAACCCUUUAUCAGUUGUCUCCUAAAGACAGAGCUCUAACCCAAGUGUUGAUCUCUUUAUUGCUCCACUUUGGCUGGAGGUGGCUGGGGCUCUUUGUGUCAGAUGAUGGGAGAGGAAGGGAGUUUCUCUCAGACCUAACAGUAAAGAUUGUUUCAGAAGAUAUCUGUGUGGCUUUUACAGAAAAACUGAUAACUCAAAAUUUAGAAUAUUUUAUGAUUAUGGAUUGCUGAACUUGUACCAACAUAUACAAGUAAAUGUGAUUUUAUUCUAUGAUAAUAUGGAUGACUUGGUGAUCUCCCUCCCAUACAUUAUUUUUUUUUUUAAGAAUAAAGGUGUGGAUCAUGGCAAAGCAACACCUGACAUAUUUAGAAUCUACAUUCAAUGACAGGAAUUUUUGGAUAUAUAUUUUCAGAGGAAGUUUCUCAUUUUCAAAGAGGAGAAGUAUCCCUGGCUUCAAGCACUUUCUUGAGGCACUUACACCCUCCCAGUACCCAGGAGAUUCUUACUUCUCUAAAUUCUGGGUUGACAAUUUUGAUUGUUCACCUCUUGGUUUUCUAUGUGAAAAAUUUAAACCCUCUCCAGCGAAUAUUUCCCUAAAGACUGGGGAUGAAAUAAAUGAUGUGAUGACUA
Long non-coding RNA from Meriones unguiculatus (Mongolian gerbil), 3066 nucleotides. RefSeq lists it as uncharacterized. Lineage: Eukaryota; Metazoa; Chordata; Mammalia; Rodentia; Muridae. The transcript is spliced from 2 exons. The record is from RefSeq and is a predicted model, not a curated record.